Molecule: long non-coding RNA, 788 nt
Organism: Bos taurus (domestic cattle)
Lineage: Eukaryota; Metazoa; Chordata; Mammalia; Artiodactyla; Bovidae
Source: Ensembl
GCCGGGCCUGGGCCGGCGGGGAGCGGAUUGGUCGGAAAGUAGGUUAGUGGUGCGACAUUUAGGGAAGGCAGAAAGUAGGUCAGGGACGGAGGUGCCUGUUUACCCGCGCCGGACUCACCGCCGCCGCCGCCGCGGGAUCCGAGUGGGGGCGCGGGCGCGGGCGCUCCCGGCGAGCCACGGUAAAAACCAGUUUUGGUGAGGAUUGGAGAGAGAGAGAGAGAUGAGAAUGACUCCAAACCUCUGACCCUGGCAACUAGAAGAUCAGGAGACCAUGCCCUUACACUGAGAUUGGUGGUGCUGUCUAACGUGCAUGUUUUUGGACCCAAGCUUAACUUUUCAAAUGUGGAAUGCUAGGCCUUCAUUGGGAGAUUUGUCAGACAGGCUUUCACUGGAAUCUUGCCCAGAGGCUGUGUGACCUACAUUGGUGAUGCCAGGUGCCAAAUGUCUGAAUAGCACCUGGCACAGAGGAGUGAUUCUGUGGUUGCUCAUCUGAUUUUAAAUCUUUAUGCAACAGAUGCUCACUUCAAAGCCAGGAUUAGAACUCUUCACGCCUGGCUUGGAAUUCCAGCUCCAUCAGCUCAUUAGAUGCGCAGGCCUGGGAAAAUGCACACGCUCUCUGCAGCCUUGGUUUUCUCCUGGUGCCGGAGAAAGAAGAGUUCCACCUCCUAACACUGCGGCAAGAAUUCAGGGAGAUCGGUCCAUAGGAUGCUUUGCAGAGGUUUGGCGUGGAUUCUUUGACUCAGUGACUGUUUUAUUCAGCACCCGCUCCAAACCAGUCAGCAUUCUAG